RNAcentral lists this transfer RNA (72 nucleotides) under Heterocephalus glaber (naked mole-rat). It matches the Rfam family "tRNA". Rfam says of the family: Transfer RNA (tRNA) molecules are approximately 80 nucleotides in length. Their secondary structure includes four short double-helical elements and three loops (D, anti-codon, and T loops). Lineage: Eukaryota; Metazoa; Chordata; Mammalia; Rodentia; Bathyergidae. The record is from Rfam by way of RNAcentral.
GGAGGUGUAGCUCAAUGAUAGAGUGCUUGCCUAGUGUGCAUGAGGCCCUGGGUUCAAUCCCUGACAACCCCC